ACCUAUAUAGUGAUAUAUAACUGAACUAUCAGAAGUCAGCAGAUGUCAUAGUACUUCGCUAAACGCGUUAGCGGAGGAAGGAC
Molecule: non-coding RNA, 83 nt
Filed under: uncultured Clostridium sp.
Lineage: Bacteria; Bacillati; Bacillota; Clostridia; Eubacteriales; Clostridiaceae
Source: RNAcentral